This 449-nucleotide ribosomal RNA is filed under the name uncultured bacterium. RNAcentral describes it as "partial 16S ribosomal RNA". It matches the Rfam family "Bacterial small subunit ribosomal RNA", at positions 29 to 523 of the family's 1533-position model. The record is from RNAcentral.
AACGAACGCUGGCGGCAGGCCUAACACAUGCAAGUCGAACGCCCUAGCAAUAGGGAGUGGCAGACGGGUGAGUAACACGUGGGAACGUGCCCUUCGGUUCGGAAUAACUCAGGGAAACUUGAGCUAAUACCGGAUAAGUGCGAGAGCAGAAAGAUUUAUCGCCGAAGGAUCGGCCCGCGUCCGAUUAGCUAGUUGGUGAGGUAAUGGCUCACCAAGGCGACGAUCGGUAGCUGGUCUGAGAGGAUGACCAGCCACACUGGGACUGAGACACGGCCCAGACUCCUACGGGAGGCAGCAGUGGGGAAUAUUGGACAAUGGGCGCAAGCCUGAUCCAGCCAUGCCGCGUGAGUGGUGAAGGCCCUAGGGUUGUAAAGCUCUUUCGCCAGGGACGAUAAUGACGGUACCUGGAUAAGAAGCCCCGGCUAACUUCGUGCCAGCCGCCGCAGUAA